GGGACGGCUAACUACGUGCCAGCAGCCGCGGUAAUACGUAGGUCCCGAGCGUUGUCCGGAUUUAUUGGGCGUAAAGCGAGCGCAGGCGGUUCUUUAAGUCUGAAGUUAAAGGCAGUGGCUCAACCAUUGUACGCUUUGGAAACUGGAGAACUUGAGUGCAGAAGGGGAGAGUGGAAUUCCAUGUGUAGCGGUGAAAUGCGUAGAUAUAUGGAGGAACACCGGUGGCGAAAGCGGCUCUCUGGUCUGUAACUGACGCUGAGGCUCGAAAGCGUGGGGAGCAAACAGGAUUAGAUACCCUGGUAGUCCACGCCGUAAACGAUGAGUGCUAGGUGUUAGGCCCUUUCCGGGGCUUAGUGCCGGAGCUAACGCAUUAAGCACUCCGCCUGGGGAGUACGACCGCA
RNAcentral lists this ribosomal RNA (401 nucleotides) under uncultured bacterium. RNAcentral's name for it is "bacterial SSU rRNA". It matches the Rfam family "Bacterial small subunit ribosomal RNA", at positions 490 to 890 of the family's 1533-position model. The record is from RNAcentral.